GUCCCUGUAGUUUAAAGGAUAGAACCGGGGUUUCCUAAACCCCAAAUCCCAGUUCGAUUCUGGGCGGGGACACAA
RNAcentral lists this transfer RNA (75 nucleotides) under Candidatus Roizmanbacteria bacterium CG10_big_fil_rev_8_21_14_0_10_45_7. Its description in RNAcentral is "tRNA-Arg". It matches the Rfam family "tRNA". Rfam says of the family: Transfer RNA (tRNA) molecules are approximately 80 nucleotides in length. Their secondary structure includes four short double-helical elements and three loops (D, anti-codon, and T loops). The record is from RNAcentral. Lineage: Bacteria; Candidatus Roizmaniibacteriota.